AGUUAUUUGUCUUAUUCUCUUUCACGUUCGAGAAAUAAACUCUCUCUUUCUCUCUUCUCUCUGCGAUUAUCCUGAUCUCUCUUCUCAUCAUCUUCUUCGUCGAUUCCGUAUGUAGCCGGCGUUAUCAUCAUGUUCUUCGUCGAAUCGAGUCUUGGCCGGAGUUAUCAUCAUCUUUUCGGUGAACAGAGAUCGUUGAGUUAGCUUGGGCGAGAAAAAGUGAAGAGUUUUGGAGCGAAAAUUGGGAGUAAAUUGUGAAGGAUUCUCCAAUCGAUUAUUUGAAGAAUGCGUUGCGCUCUGAAUCAAAUACCGCAUUGUGCAAAGUUUCCACUGCAAAAGAUUCAUACAUUGUGAGGUGCUGCGUUAAAGGCUCUCUCUUGGAGGUGAACGAGAGAUUAAUAAACCAACCAGAGCUUCUUAAUUCAUCGUCCCACAAGCCGUCUUCUGCGCCAGACAAGUGUAGGGAGUGUUUGCCCCUUGUCCUAAUCAUGAGGAACAUGUUGAAGUAUGCUUUGACAUACAGAGAGACAAGCUGUAAAGCACAGAGCAAAUGGGGUUUGGUAUUCCGAUAUCUUCUGAGAGGAAAAGUCUGGUUUUGUGUGGUGGAAGCAAGGUGUUCUCGUAGGAGCUUCCGUGGGAGAUUAUAAUGGCGGACUAUAUCAUCAAAGGAUUGAAAAAAGAGAGAAGAGAAAGAAGAGUAAACAAAAUGGAUUGACAAGGAAGCCAAACACACACACACACACAAGAAAUGAAUAUUCUUCGUAUGUUUCUUCUUGGUGGAAUAAGAAAAGACAAUUACUAGUAGUGUUUUGUAAUUAGUGAGAUAUUUGAUUUAGAUUGAUUCACUUGUAAUGCAGCUAUAUAUUGAUUGAUGAUGCAA
Molecule: RNA transcript, 877 nt
Organism: Capsella rubella
Lineage: Eukaryota; Viridiplantae; Streptophyta; Magnoliopsida; Brassicales; Brassicaceae
Exons: 4
Source: RefSeq, a predicted model, not a curated record